ACAGACAAUUUACCAAACAAGAUACACAGGUAACAAACGAGCACAUGAAAAGCUGCUCAGCAUCCUUAGUCAUGAAACUCUCAGAAGGCGCCAGGACACGCCUCUCAUGAUGGCUAAAAUGAAAAAAGAUUGACCUUACCAGCUGAGUACAAGGAUGCAGAGCAAAUGGGACUCUCAUGCAUGACUGCUGAGAAUGUAAAAUGAUACAACCACUUUGGAAACUAGUUUGGCACUUUGUUGAAAAGUUAAGCAAUACUACCCUAUGAUCUAGCCAUUGCAUUCCUGGAUAUUUACCCAGGAGAAACGGAAGCAUGUGUUCCUACUGAGACAAACACCAUGUCCAUCAACAGACUGAAUUCCUGAGGGUGGAGAGGAUGUGUCUUGUUUCCACUGCCAGCACCGUCUGGUCCAACCGGCAAGAAGUGGUUGCUGAUUUUGGCAGACUCCUUGCUCUCCUUCCUUCUUUGCCCAGGUCUUGGGUGCUGACCUUAUCAAAGGGCAGCCUGGGGUUAUUCUUGGCAUAACCAGCACAUAGCUGGUUAUGCACACAGCACAUCGCCCAGUUCCUGGCUUGGAGGGAGAGCGCUCACGUUUGAUGGUUACAACAAUGGAUGGGAACCCAUAGCCAGUGGCUUUGAUGCCUCUGUGCCUGAUGGGAAGCUGAGAAGGAAUUGACAGAGCUCUUCUUUCUUUGGGUCACUAGCGUCCCGCGGCUUCAGCGUUUCUUUGUGCUCAAGCAAGCGCAGUUGCCAGGACCACAGAGGAAGGGGAUGGAGGAAUGGCCUCAGCCAUCUCGGAGGAUGGCACUUGUUGCCCCCAGUGCCAUCUGCCAAAGACCUUUUCAAUUACACCAGACGCAUUGGCUCUAGGCAGCCUCAGCUUCCUGUCACCACGGACUCUGUUUAAGAUCUCAGCUGGACUUGGCUGCGUUGGAGAUUGCAGGGAAUAUGGCUGGUCCACUUGGGUGGCUUUGCACGUGGCCAUCCUGUGUGUAUGCCCUUCUGCCAGCCUGGCGGCCUCUCCCUUCGUCUGCCUUGUCCUUGAAAUGCAUCAGCAGGGGGAGCUGGAUCUGUCCUAAACCUGACGGAAAACAGACGUCCCCGCACGCAGAGGAGCAAGCUGCCUCGCUGGGUUUUUCUGGAAUAGCUCAGAUGGCUGUUAUUUUAUUCAUUGGAAUGGAGAUGAAUUGCUAAAUGUACCAGUUAAAUGUGAUUUAAAUUGUAUAUCGUUGUCAAGUUUUUCACAUAAAUUCACUAAUUAAAAAAAAAAUUCUUUGCACAGA
Cebus imitator (Panamanian white-faced capuchin) is the source of this 1282-nucleotide long non-coding RNA. RefSeq lists it as uncharacterized. Lineage: Eukaryota; Metazoa; Chordata; Mammalia; Primates; Cebidae. The record is from RefSeq and is a predicted model, not a curated record. The transcript has 2 exons.